AUGGGGGGACCAUCCUCCAAGGCUAAAUACUCCUGACUGACCGAUAGUGAACCAGUACCGUGAGGGAAAGGCGAAAAGAACCCCGGCGAGGGGAGUGAAAAAGAACCUGAAACCGUGUACGUACAAGCAGUGGGAGCACGCUUAGGCGUGUGACUGCGUACCUUUUGUAUAAUGGGUCAGCGACUUAUAUUCUGUAGCAAGGUUAACCGAAUAGGGGAGCCGAAGGGAAACCGAGUCUUAACUGGGCGUUAAGUUGCAGGGUAUAGACCCGAAACCCGGUGAUCUAGCCAUGGGCAGGUUGAAGGUUGGGUAACACUAACUGGAGGACCGAACCGACUAAUGUUGAAAAAUUAGCGGAUGACUUGUGGCUGGGGGUGAAAGGCCAAUCAAACCGGGAGAUAGCUGGUUCUCCCCGAAAGCUAUUUAGGUAGCGCCUCGUGAAUUCAUCUCCGGGGGUAGAGCACUGUUUCGGCAAGGGGGUCAUCCCGACUUACCAACCCGAUGCAAACUGCGAAUACCGGAGAAUGUUAUCACGGGAGACACACGGCGGGUGCUAACGUCCGUCGUGAAGAGGGAAACAACCCAGACCGCCAGCUAAGGUCCCAAAGUCAUGGUUAAGUGGGAAACGAUGUGGGAAGGCCCAGACAGCCAGGAUGUUGGCUUAGAAGCAGCCAUCAUUUAAAGAAAGCGUAAUAGCUCACUGGUCGAGUCGGCCUGCGCGGAAGAUGUAACGGGGCUAAACCAUGCACCGAAGCUGCGGCAGCGACGCUGAUGCGUUGUUGGGUAGGGGAGCGUUCUGUAAGCCUG
This 807-nucleotide ribosomal RNA is filed under the name Escherichia coli. RNAcentral describes it as "partial 23S ribosomal RNA". It matches the Rfam family "Bacterial large subunit ribosomal RNA", at positions 444 to 1251 of the family's 2925-position model. Lineage: Bacteria; Pseudomonadati; Pseudomonadota; Gammaproteobacteria; Enterobacterales; Enterobacteriaceae. The record is from RNAcentral.